This 73-nucleotide transfer RNA is filed under the name Enhygromyxa salina. It matches the Rfam family "tRNA". From Rfam's summary of the family: Transfer RNA (tRNA) molecules are approximately 80 nucleotides in length. Their secondary structure includes four short double-helical elements and three loops (D, anti-codon, and T loops). The record is from Rfam by way of RNAcentral. Lineage: Bacteria; Pseudomonadati; Myxococcota; Nannocystales; Nannocystaceae.
CCCGCGAUAGCUGAGAUGGUUCAAGCGUUCGGUUGAAGCCCGGAAGACGGGGGUUCGAGUCCCUCUCGCGGGA